RNAcentral lists this ribosomal RNA (469 nucleotides) under uncultured bacterium. RNAcentral describes it as "partial 16S ribosomal RNA". It matches the Rfam family "Bacterial small subunit ribosomal RNA", at positions 28 to 507 of the family's 1533-position model. The record is from RNAcentral.
GACGAACGCUGGCGGCGUGCUUAACACAUGCAAGUCGAACGGAAAGGCCCUGCUUGCAGGGUGCUCGAGUGGCGAACGGGUGAGUAACACGUGGGUGAUCUGCCCCUUACUUUGGGAUAAGCCUGGGAAACUAGGUCUAAUACUGGAUAGGACCAUGCUGUAGGUGGUGUGGUGGAAAGAUUAGUUUCGGUAAGGGAUGAGCUCGCGGCCUAUCAGCUUGUUGGUGGGGUAAUGGCCUACCAAGGCGUCGACGGGUAGCCGGCCUGAGAGGGUGGACGGCCACAUUGGGACUGAGAUACGGCCCAGACUCCUACGGGAGGCAGCAGUGGGGAAUAUUGCACAAUGGGCGCAAGCCUGAUGCAGCGACGCCGCGUGGGGGAUGACGGCCUUCGGGUUGUAAACUCCUUUCAGCCAUGACGAAGCCCUUGUGGUGACGGUAGUGGGAGAAGAAGCACCGGCUAACUACGUG